ACCCCGGGGCAAGUGGGACCUAAAAAAAUGCUAAUUUGGUUUUGUCAUGCUAAAAAUUUCAGAUCACAUUUUUUUUAAUAAUUCCAAUGAACCCAAAAGACGUUGUUGGUAUAUUUGUACUUAUUCACGUGCAUUAAAACUGUUUCAAAAUUUUAAAAUUCCAUAUAUUAUGCAUAUAAUGAAAAGUGUAGCAGAUAUUCAUUUACUGCGUUUCACGGGGCAAGUGGGACCUAUUCAGAGUAUUUGUUCAAAGGGCUUAAUAUAAGUUGCAACAAAUAAGGUAACAUAAAUCAUAAAUCUCUUGUAUGAAUGACUAUCUUUAGAGAUUAAAAUAAGAAGAGGUUUAUGGUAUCGUGCAUAAAUUACGUAACACAUAAAAAAUCGCUGGGGAAAAAAUACUUACAGCUCAUGCAAAAUAAAUUGAUUUUUAUACAAAAAGCGCCGUAAAGUGAAGAGACAAAAGAUUUUGAAACUUGAUCUCUAUAUUAUAUAGUUGAUGAAUCUCGCCAAAAGUAAAUCUGGGGUUUCGAGAUUUUCAGUAAUAUCUUCUCCCUUACAUAAUCUUACGAUCAUUAAAUAAUGUUUUUUUUUAAUCAUCAAUUUUGAAAAGGUCAUUUCCCUAUUUUAUUUUUUUAUGGACGGUUCCUGAAUGCUCAAAAGAAUUCAUUAUGCAGCGUUAAGAGAAAAAAUAAUGGAAGAUAUUUAGAGAAAAACAUAAAAAAUACAUGCUUUUGAUUUUUUUUUAUUUUACCCAAGGUUUUACCAUUUUUAACAAGAGUUUCAUCAUCUAAAUAGAGGUAAUAAAGUAUAAUUCAACAGUAGAUUACUUAACGCGUUAAUUUUUAUUGACUUUCGUGCUAAUUUCAUUUUAGGCUGGACAAGGCAAGAUGAACCCAUACAAUUGUGUUUGUUUAUUCUCAUAGGUCCCACUUACCCCAGAUAGCGAAAUGCACUGGGGCAAGUGAGAGCAGUAAACUAAAGGUAAUAAAUAGAAACAAAAUACAGCUUUUUCGCUUGAAAUCAUUUGCAAGAACUCCAAAUACUAUCCUGAAACCGAAAAAGUAUUUGUAUAAUGACAAAUCUAUUUUUAAACGACGAAUGUAGAAGAGCACGUCAAUCUCACCUAGUGAAUUGAAAAUUACAUAUGAACAACAAUAACGUAUAUGGUCUCUUUAUGGUUGAAACAAUAACAUUUUUUGUACUCAAAGUAUCCGUAGGUGUGAUACCUAUGUUUUCCAUGAAGAAUGUUAGUCUUAAAAAUAAAUAAUAAUAAAAAUACUAGCUAUAGGUCUCACUUGCCCCCGAUUCUCACUUGCCCCGGGGUACCUUACUUACAUUUUGUCCAUACGAUUGUUUAAAAAGCUAUUUACACAACGAAACAAAUGACAAUGCUCUAUUUACACUACGUAUUUACAUUACUUACAAGUAUUUACAGAUUAAAAUUUCAUUUAACAAAGCUACGGUAUAGUACGGUAAAAUCAGGGCUUUGAAAUGUUUCACCGGUUUGUCGGAGUUGUGAUCGUUCUAGUACUACCUAUUUCGAAUUCCAUCCGAACAAUAGUCCAUUGGUGUGCGUUUGUAUUGAGAUGAUUUCGAACUGUCAAACUAUUGAUUGGUGUGAAAUGGAUGAGAACGGUGAUGAUAUGAUCAGCAUAAGGAAUCUCUCUACAACUACUGCCUCCGCAGCAUCGAGACCAGAUGACGUCAUGAAGAUCAAGCAUCCGAAGAGCAUCGCGUACGAAGACUGGAAGGAAUAGCAUCUCUAGACGAUGUAUUAACAGAGGAACUAUGUCCGUGCUACAGACGAACCUUCCUAUAUAGAGUGACCCAGCACUCGUGUGGUCUCACUAUCUCACUUUUGUCUCAUUCAACUGAACGAUGACAGUACGAGUAAUCACCGACUCAGGACGUUUUCUGCACGCCAAUUCGCAAUGGAAUUAGAAUUUAAAAAGAACUAUUUACGAGCUAAAAGUAUCACAGAUUAGAAUUUGAUAACCUAGUAAAUUGAAAAAUGCUAUAAAAUUUAAAAACCUAGUAAAUUUGAAAAUCCUAUUUGCACACGCUUCAAAAGAAGCACACAAAAUUUGUUGUUAAUAAAAAUUAUCGUUCUUUUUGGCCUUUUCAUUUCACACACAUCCGAAAUCACAUCACAACACACUAAAAUUGUUUCAAACAAAAGUAAAAAGUUAAAAAUGACUAGUAUUGAUAUCUAAUGUUCUUUUUUGAACAAUCGUUUGUUUAUGUUCAUUGUGUUUCUGGACAACAAAACCCCUCCGUCGCAAAUGAAAUGAUUUUGCGAACUGUGUAAGAAGAAAGAGUAAGUCCAAAUGUGGUAAGUUAAAUUUGUGAAGGCCUGGAAGUUUUACCAGAGACCUCCGUCGAAACCAGUUUGAUCCAGUGCGAUCUUCCAAACUGACCCUUCCAAAAAACUGUCAAGAAGACGAUUUUAAGUUGGGCGCCAAAGUGUAACUGCCGACUAGCUCAAGAGGGGAGCCUUCCUGAGACUCCCUGAAACAACACCUCAGGGUCGGCAUGCUUCUUGACCAGUUAUUCGCGGGCAGGGAAUAUUCGCACUGUCGUACAUAAAAACUCACGUCACGUUACAUUUACACAUUUAUUCCCGGACUUUCCGGCCUCUUCUUCUCCCUGCACAUUCCCACAUUCUUAAUCUACUCUAACCUGUCUUUUCAUCUAUUAGGGGCCCCUUCUUCUACCUUCCACCUCUCUCCACCACACAGUG
This is a long non-coding RNA of Aedes albopictus (Asian tiger mosquito), 2740 nucleotides long. RefSeq lists it as uncharacterized. Lineage: Eukaryota; Metazoa; Arthropoda; Insecta; Diptera; Culicidae. The transcript is spliced from 4 exons. The record is from RefSeq and is a predicted model, not a curated record.